RNAcentral lists this small nucleolar RNA (138 nucleotides) under Ornithorhynchus anatinus (platypus). The record is from RNAcentral. Lineage: Eukaryota; Metazoa; Chordata; Mammalia; Monotremata; Ornithorhynchidae.
CCCCUCUCAGAAUCACACCUGGAAAGUUUCCAGUAUUCUACCAAUCGCGGCUAUGGGAGGGAUAGUCAAGCAGAGGCCUACCCAUUCUAUUCCUAGCUUGGCCAGUGGCUAGAGAGUGGAAGGCAAUCUGCUGCAAGU